GUCGAUGUAGCUCAGUUGGUUAGAGCGCAACACUCAUAAAGUUGAGGUCGGAGGUUCAAUUCCUCCCAUCGACA
RNAcentral lists this transfer RNA (74 nucleotides) under Candidatus Kaiserbacteria bacterium. RNAcentral's name for it is "tRNA-Met". It matches the Rfam family "tRNA". From Rfam's summary of the family: Transfer RNA (tRNA) molecules are approximately 80 nucleotides in length. The record is from RNAcentral. Lineage: Bacteria; Candidatus Kaiseribacteriota.